CAUAUCAAUAAGCGGAGGAAAAGAAACCAACAGGGAUUGCCUUAGUAGCGGCGAGUGAAGCGGCAAGAGCUCAAAUUUGAAAUCUGGUACUUUCAGUAUCCGAGUUGUAAUUUGAAGAAAGUUAUCUUGGAGUUGGCCCUUGUCUAUGUUCCUUGGAACAGGACGUCACAGAGGGUGAGAAUCCCGUGCGAUGGGGUGCCCAUUCUAUGUAAGAUACUUUUGACGAGUCGAGUUGUUUGGGAAUGCAGCUCUAAGUGGGUGGUAAAUUCCAUCUAAAGCUAAAUAUUGGCGAGAGACCGAUAGCGAACAAGUACAGUGAUGGAAAGAUGAAAAGAACUUUGAAAAGAGAGUGAAAAAGUACGUGAAAUUGUUGAAAGGGAAGGGUAUUUGAUCAGACUGAUAUUCAGUUAACACUGUUCCUUGUGGAUGGUGCUCUAGCUUUUUAUUGGGCCAGCAUCAGUUAAGGUGGCAGGAUAAGAACUGUUGAACGUGGCUCUUCGGAGUGUUAUAGCUUCAGUUGAUACUGCCUAUCUAGACUGAGGUCUGCGGCUUUGCCUAGGAUG
Molecule: ribosomal RNA, 563 nt
Filed under: [Candida] boidinii
Lineage: Eukaryota; Fungi; Ascomycota; Pichiomycetes; Pichiales; Pichiaceae
Description: eukaryotic LSU rRNA
Rfam family: Eukaryotic large subunit ribosomal RNA
Source: RNAcentral